This 22-nucleotide non-coding RNA is filed under the name Arabidopsis thaliana (thale cress). Lineage: Eukaryota; Viridiplantae; Streptophyta; Magnoliopsida; Brassicales; Brassicaceae. The record is from RNAcentral.
GGAGUCGUCUCAGCUGUGUUCC